RNAcentral lists this ribosomal RNA (482 nucleotides) under uncultured bacterium. RNAcentral describes it as "partial 16S ribosomal RNA". It matches the Rfam family "Bacterial small subunit ribosomal RNA", at positions 30 to 507 of the family's 1533-position model. The record is from RNAcentral.
AUUGAACGCUGGCGGCAUGCCUUACACAUGCAAGUCGAACGGUAACGGGCCUUCGGGUGCCGACGAGUGGCGGACGGGUGAGUAAUACAUCGGAACGUGCCCGAUCGUGGGGGAUAACGAGGCGAAAGCUGUGCUAAUACCGCAUACGAUCUACGGAUGAAAGCAGGGGACCGCAAGGCCUUGCGCGGACGGAGCGGCCGAUGGCAGAUUAGGUAGUUGGUGGGAUAAAAGCUUACCAAGCCGACGAUCUGUAGCUGGUCUGAGAGGAUGAUCAGCCACACUGGGACUGAGACACGGCCCAGACUCCUACGGGAGGCAGCAGUGGGGAAUUUUGGACAAUGGGCGCAAGCCUGAUCCAGCAAUGCCGCGUGCAGGAUGAAGGCCUUCGGGUUGUAAACUGCUUUUGUACGGAACGAAAAGCCUUCUUUUAAUACAGGAGGGUCAUGACGGUACCGUAAGAAUAAGCACCGGCUAACUACGUG